GAAGAUGUUCUGAAAGAAAUCGCUACAUCCCCUUAUUCUUCAAACCAAGGAAGUCACCACUUCAAGACACUAUAUAUGAUCGGGGA
Arabidopsis thaliana (thale cress) is the source of this 86-nucleotide small nuclear RNA. Lineage: Eukaryota; Viridiplantae; Streptophyta; Magnoliopsida; Brassicales; Brassicaceae. The record is from RefSeq.